CGGGUAGAGUAAUGCGUGACCAACCUGCCCCAUGCUCCAGAAUAGCUCUUGGAAACGGGUGGUAAUGCUGGAUGCUCCAACUUGACGCAUGUCUUGUUGGGAAAGUGUUUAGUGGCAUGGGAUGGGGGUCGCGUCCUAUCAGCUUGUAGGCGGGGUAAUGGCCCACCUAGGCUUCGACGGGUAGCCGGCCUGAGAGGGCGGACGGCCACAUUGGGACUGAGAUACGGCCCAGACUCCUACGGGAGGCAGCAGCA
RNAcentral lists this ribosomal RNA (254 nucleotides) under uncultured Gardnerella sp. Its description in RNAcentral is "partial 16S ribosomal RNA". It matches the Rfam family "Bacterial small subunit ribosomal RNA", at positions 100 to 355 of the family's 1533-position model. Lineage: Bacteria; Bacillati; Actinomycetota; Actinomycetes; Bifidobacteriales; Bifidobacteriaceae. The record is from RNAcentral.